This is a long non-coding RNA of Peromyscus maniculatus bairdii (prairie deer mouse), 736 nucleotides long. RefSeq lists it as uncharacterized. The record is from RefSeq and is a predicted model, not a curated record. NCBI's taxonomy places the organism in Eukaryota, Metazoa, Chordata, Mammalia, Rodentia, Cricetidae.
CCCUGUGGAUGUUACUAAGUUGGCCUGGCCCCCAUAUGACACUCCACUGCUGUGUUCUGGGGAAGUCUAUCUCUAUUUGUUGUGUGAUACUAUGCCUCGGAAGAUAUGAACAAACCUCUUCAUUCCACAUGGGGAACAGACAACAGAUCGAAGUAAGGAUACCACCAAAUUCUAAUGUGACUCUUUGAUCCCUGGCAAGUACCUGCUCUGGAUGGCCUGGCUGCUAACUUCCAGAACUCUUGAGCUUGUAGACCGAAACAGCGCCCCUCAAUUUCACCGCCCUGAACAGAAGUGAACAAACAGCUCUUUGAGAUCCUGCUUUCAAUUCUUUUAUGUCAGCAAGUUUCUUAUGAUCAACUACUAAUAUGAAACCUGUCUCACGUGACAGAGGACAUCAUCUGACCAGACAGACCAAAGAGGCCUCUCUUCUUAUGAAGCCACUAAUACCACCAUGGAGACCCCACUCUCUUGAUCUCAUCCAGUUCUACUUACCACCUGAAGGUCUCCACCCCUGAACACCACUAACUAUGACUUGGAGGAUUUAGUUUCCAACACCUGUUUCUGGGUGUUCAAACUUCAGCAUCAUAAAAAGGGACGUCUGGAGCUUGGGGGUUACUUUCAAGUCUGACACUAGAAAGAAUGAACAAAGAGAACUGAAAAUUCCCAAAGCCUAAUUCUCAUACUUGAAAAAAAUUAUUCAUGAGCAUGCUGUUGUCAGUAGUUUCCAAAUAAAUCA